AUACGGAGGAUGCAAGCGUUAUCCGGAUUUAUUGGGUUUAAAGGGUGCGUAGGCGGUUUGCUAAGCGGGAGGUGAAAUGCCGGCGCUCAACGUCGGAAGUGCCUCCCGAACUGGUGGACUUGAAUGACUCUGCCGUGGGAGGAAUGUGUAGUGUAGCGGUGAAAUGCUUAGAGAUUACACAGAACACCGAUUGCGAAGGCAUCUCACGAAGGGUUGAUUGACGCUGAGGCACGAAAGCGUGGGGAUCAAACAGGAUUAGAUACCCUGGUAGUCCACGCAGUAAACGAUGAUGGCUAACCGCUGGUUUAUUCGGAUCAGUGGCCAAGCGAAAGCGAUAAGCCAUCCACCUGGGGAGUACGACCGCAAGGUUGAAACUCAAAUGAAUUGACGGGG
Molecule: ribosomal RNA, 393 nt
Filed under: uncultured bacterium
Lineage: Bacteria
Description: partial 16S ribosomal RNA
Rfam family: Bacterial small subunit ribosomal RNA
Source: RNAcentral